Molecule: long non-coding RNA, 322 nt
Organism: Stegostoma tigrinum
Lineage: Eukaryota; Metazoa; Chordata; Chondrichthyes; Orectolobiformes; Stegostomatidae
Exons: 3
Source: RefSeq, a predicted model, not a curated record
CUUGACGUGACUCUUCAAGGAUCAUCUGGAGGAAAAAUACAAGUAUCUCUUCAAACAAGUCGCUGAACCCACAGAUUUAUGUGACCAACGAAGCCUGAGUCUUUUGCUUUACGAUGCAGUCCAGAUCCCUUGGCAGCUGGGUGAGGUAGCUUCAUUUGGAGGCUGCAACAUUGAACCAAGUAUCCGCAGUUGCUUCCAACAUGGCCAGAACAAACCAGAGAUUGACGUUGAACGCUUUGUCGAGUGGAUGAGAUUGGAGCCUCAGUCCAUGGUGUGGCUGCCUGUUCGACACCGUGUGGCAGCUGCUGAAACUGCAAAACAU